GACGAACGCUGGCGGCGUGCUUAACACAUGCAAGUCGAACGGGAUCCAUGGAGUAGCAAUACUCUGGAAGAUCUAGUGGCGAACGGGUGAGUAACACGUGAGCAACCAGCCCCAAAGACUGGGAUAACCCCGGGAAACCGGAGCUAAUACCGGAUGUCCUCAUUAGAUCGCAUGGUCAUAUGAGGAAAUGAAUUUUCGCUUUGGGAGGGGCUCGCGGGCUAUCAGUGUUGGUGGGGUAAUGGCCUACCAAGACAUCGACGGCUAGCUGGUCUGAGAGGACGAUCAGCCACACUGGGACUGAGACACGGCCCAGACUCCUACGGGAGGCAGCAGUGGGGAAUCUUGCCCAAUGGGCGAAAGCCUGAGCAGCAACGCCGCGUGCGGGAUGACGGCC
This 394-nucleotide ribosomal RNA is filed under the name uncultured bacterium. RNAcentral describes it as "bacterial SSU rRNA". It matches the Rfam family "Bacterial small subunit ribosomal RNA", at positions 28 to 416 of the family's 1533-position model. The record is from RNAcentral.